Molecule: long non-coding RNA, 377 nt
Organism: Bos taurus (domestic cattle)
Lineage: Eukaryota; Metazoa; Chordata; Mammalia; Artiodactyla; Bovidae
Source: Ensembl
GGAGAACUCCAUGCUUCCAAAAUCGUGUUAACCAGCAAGAAUGAAGGUCAGGAGCCUCCAGUAAACUAAUCCCAGGCUUGCUCUUAGGUGCUGUGGCCAGAUUGGCUCCUAGUAAACAAGGCUCACGGGACUUCGUGAUGGACAGGGAAGCCUGGCGGGGCUGCAGUCCAUGGGGUCGCAAAGAGUCAGACGUGACUGAGCGACUGAACUGAACUGAAGGGGAACAUAAUCGUCUUUUACGGAUUGUCUCCUAGUAAACAAGUCUCACCUAAACCCUUUCUGCUGUUGCUAUAAAUCACCCCACGCUACCUGCCUCUUUUGGUUAGCAAUAAAAAGUUGGAUAACCUUUUAAAAACUUCUGCUGCUGGAUACAGGCC